This is a non-coding RNA of Callithrix jacchus (white-tufted-ear marmoset), 839 nucleotides long. Lineage: Eukaryota; Metazoa; Chordata; Mammalia; Primates; Cebidae. The record is from RefSeq and is a predicted model, not a curated record.
AUGUCUAAGAUGAUGAAGGGUCGUAGCAGCAGCAGUUGGGCCCCCUGCCACGGCCGGCGGGCCGAAGAAUGCAGAAAGGGGGCCGGGGGGACCCGCCCCCAUCCGGUCCCAGCCGUAAACUCCAACGUGGAGAACCUGCCCCCGCACAUCAUCAGCCUGCUGUACAAGGAAGUGACGACACUGACCACAGACCCACUCGAUGGUAUCAAGGUCUUUCUCAACGAGGAGGACCUCACCGACCUCCAGGUCACCAUCACGGGCCCUGAGGGGACCCCAUAUGCUGGAGGUCUGUUCUGCACGAAACUCCUGCGCUGGGCAUCCUACAGUGCUGCUGACCAUCAAGUGCCUGCUGAUCCACCCUAACCCCGAGACUGCACUCAACGAGGAGGCGGGCUGCCUUUUCUUUGAGAACUAUGAGGAGUAUGCGGCUCAGGCCCGUCUGCUCACAGAGAUCCACAGGGGCGCUGGUGGGCCCAAUGGCAGGGCCGAAGUUGGUCGUGCCCUAGCCAGUUGCACUGCAGCCUCCUCCACGAUCCUGGGGCCCCAGGGGGGCCCAGCGGGGGCUGAGGGUCCCAUGGCCAAGAAGCUGGCGAGUGAGACAAGAAGCUGGCGGCCAAGAAAAAGACGGACAAGAAGCGGGCACUGCGGCAGCUGUAGUGGGCUCUCUUCCUCCUUCCACUGCAACCCCAGUCUCUCCUGUCCACUCCCUCCAACUCUGUCUCUAAGUUAUUUAAAUUAUGGCUGGGGUCUGGGAGGGUACAGGGGGCACUAGGACCUGGAUUUGUUUUUCUAAAUAAAGUUGGAAAAGCAAAAAAAAAAAAAAAAAAAAAAAAAAAUGA